This 253-nucleotide ribosomal RNA is filed under the name uncultured bacterium. Its description in RNAcentral is "partial 16S ribosomal RNA". It matches the Rfam family "Bacterial small subunit ribosomal RNA", at positions 524 to 776 of the family's 1533-position model. The record is from RNAcentral.
UACGAAGGGGGCUAGCGUUGUUCGGAAUUACUGGGCGUAAAGCGCACGUCGGCGGAUUUGUAAGUCAGGGGUGAAAUCCCGGGGCUCAACCUCGGAACUGCCUUUGAUACUGCAAGUCUCGAGUCCGAUAGAGGUGAGUGGAAUUCCUAGUGUAGAGGUGAAAUUCGUAGAUAUUAGGAAGAACACCAGUGGCGAAGGCGGCUCACUGGAUCGGUACUGACGCUGAGGUGCGAAAGCGUGGGGAGCAAACAGG